AUUUAUUUAUUUUAAAUCGAAAAGCGAAAACCGACUGCAGCUCUAGAACCUCGCUCCAAAUAUAGUCACUGGUGAGGCGAGAGGUGGGAACUUUGCAAGAGAUAAAAAAAAUUAAAAUUCUCCAAAAAUGAAUAAAGGUUCAUCAUCAAUGGCGAAAGAUCAGUCAAUCUCAGUUUCAGAAGCAGUACACAAGAUUCAACUCCAUCUCCUUGACGGAAUCCGAGACGAGAAACAACUAAUCUCCUCUGGUUCCUUAAUUUCUCGAAGCGACUAUGAGGAUGUCAUAACCGAGAGGUCGAUUUCCAACACUUGCGGUUACCCUCUCUGCCAAAACCCUUUACCUUCCGAACCCCGUCGAAGAGGCCGUUAUCGAAUCUCUUUGAAAGAGCACCGAGUUUACGAUUUACAAGAAACCAGCCGCUUUUGCCUCGCCGAUUGCCUGAUUAAUAGCCGAGCUUUCGCUGGGAGUUUACAAGAAGAGAGGUGUUCCGUUUUGAAUCAUGCGAAACUUAAUGCGAUUUUGAGUUUAUUUGAUGACGUGGAUUUGAACGAUAAGGAUUUGGGGAAGAAUGGGGAUUUAGGGUUUUCGAAUUUGAAGAUUAAAGAAAAUGAGGAAAUAAAAGCUGGGGAAAUUUCUUCGGUGGGUCCUUCCAAUGCUAUUGAAGGCUAUGUUCCACAAAGAGAAUUGGUUUCUAAGCCUUCAUCUUCUAAGAACAGCAAAAAUGGAGUGUUUGAUUCUAGCAGUUCCAAGCUGGGUGAUAUCAAAGGAGAUUAUUUUGUCAAUAAUGAGAUAGAUUUUACUAGUGCCGUAAUUAUGAACAAUGAAUACACCACUUCUAAGAAUCCCGGUAGUCUUAGACAGAGUCAAAGAACGAAGCCGAGUAGUAUGAAAGAUGUGAUUAAUGAGAUGGACUUUACUAGUGAAAUAAUCAUGAAUGAUGAAUAUACUGUUUCCAAGACACCCCCGGGGUCAAGACAGGGUUCUUCUGGUUCGAAAUUGGAAAAAACAGAAGGGAAAGGAGUUUGUAAAGACUUCGAAGAAAAAUGUAUGAGAUCAGAAUCCUCCUCUGCUUUGACGAAAGAGGAUUCUGGCAUUGUACAAAUGCCUUCAACUAAAUGUGUCGAUCAGAGUGGUUUGGAUACAAUUAAUGCUGAAGCAGAGAAGGAAACCCAUUCUGACAAGGCCAUGGCAUCAAGUGGGGUUGUGCUUAAAUCCUCUCUUAAACCUGCUGGAGCAAAGAAACUUAAUCGCUCAGUUACUUGGGCUGAUAAAAAAAAUGUUGAUAGUGCUCGGAAAGGGAGUCUUUGUGAAGUUAAAGAAAUGGAUGCACAGAAAGGAGAUUCUGAAAAUAUUGGCAGAGCAGAAGAUGGUGAUGCUGAUGAUAAAAUGUUACGAUUUGCAUCCGCAGAAGCUUGUGCUAUGGCUUUGAGCAAGGCAGCGGCAGCGGCAGCUGUGGCAUCUGGAGAUUCUGAUGUCAAUGAUGCUGUUUCUGAAGCUGGGCUGAUCAUAUUGCCACAUCCACUUGAGGCGGACAAGGAGGAGAAAGUGGAGAAUAUUGAUACCCUUGAAGCAGAUCCUGAACCAGAAGAAGGCCCUGUAAAGUGGCCAACAAAACCUGGGAUUCCACGCUCUGAUUUUUUUGACCCAGAGGACUCGUGGUUUGAUGCUCCCCCUGAGGGUUUCAGUUUAACUCUGUCAACUUUUGCAACAAUGUGGAAUGCGCUUUUUGAAUGGAUAACAUCAUCUUCUUUGGCUUAUAUAUAUGGGAGAGAUGAAACUUUCCAUGAAGAGUACCUGUCAGUUAAUGGGAGGGAGUAUCCGCAGAAGAUUGUCUUACGAGAUGGUCGUUCUUCUGAAAUUAAAGAAACUCUUGCUGGUUGUAUUUCUCGUGCUUUACCUGCUAUUGUUACUGCUCUCAGACUGCCUAUACCGAUAUCUACUUUGGAGCAGGGAAUGGGCCGCCUGCUAGAUACAAUGUCUUUUGUGGAAGCACUUCCAGCAUUCAGAAUGAAACAGUGGCAAGUACUUGUUCUUCUAUUAAUUGACGCCCUUUCAGUUUGUAGAAUACCAGCCCUCACUCCACACAUGACUAAUGGGAGGAUGCUUCUUCACAAGGUGCUGGAUGGUGCCCAGAUAAGUUUGGAAGAAUAUGAGGUUAUGAAGGAUCUAAUAAUACCACUUGGCCGAGCACCUCACUUUUCUGCACAGAGUGGAGCUUGAGUGGUGUGAUUUGUAGUCAUUGUGGAAAUUCUGUUUCCUUAUGAUUAGUAUCUACUGAGAAGUUGCAAAAUCUGAUGAUCGCCAAUGGAAUCAUCUCAAAGGUGCACAUGUUUUGCUUGGAGUGAAGGAACUAUACGUGCUAACAAAUUCGGCUCAUUGUUGAUUACGGAGUUGAUUGUUCAAAUUUAAUCGAAUUUCGAUGCUUGUAAAGUGAAAGGUAUUUCUUGUUCAAAAACAAAAACUGAAUUACAAAUGCAAAUGCAGAUACAGUUUAUAUAUAUGUUUGUUGAGGAUGUUGCGUAUAGUUUAGAUGUAUCAAAUUACCCAUGGUUUUUGGAGAUAAAUUGGGUGAUAUUAUGACUUUACUUUUGUUGAAAUAAACUAUUUUGGACUUAAAA
This is an RNA transcript of Gossypium arboreum, 2619 nucleotides long. It is a transcript of the gene named putative RNA polymerase II subunit B1 CTD phosphatase RPAP2 homolog, with no coding region annotated. The record is from RefSeq and is a predicted model, not a curated record. The transcript is spliced from 8 exons. Lineage: Eukaryota; Viridiplantae; Streptophyta; Magnoliopsida; Malvales; Malvaceae.